GAGAUUGGGGGCUGGUCAGUGGCUGGUAAGAGUGAGCAGAUGUGGGUGGGGAUGACAGUCAGAUGCAGCAGUUCAGAGAGUGAAUUUCCCAUGAAGAUGAAGCUCUACCUAUCCUUGAAAAACAUGAGCCUCUCUGAAAUAUUGAGUUUGAGGUCAAAGAAUUGGUGGACUGAAAACGAAGAAGUGGCCCUGGGGAGGACUGAAGUAAGAGGGGUUUGUACGAUUCCUUGUUGGUUAAUUGUCCCCUAAAUUAGCACUUACACAAGCUGAAUGAGUGAGGGUCCUUUUGCAUGGUUACAUUUACUGUCUUAUGGCUUUCCUCUAAGCUAGUGAAUUUAAUAAUAUGAAUGGAAAUAGAUGACAGAGUUCUUGGGUUGUUAAAAGUUUUUUCACUUAACUGAGAUCACCAAAGGGUGGGCUCCCAAGUAGGAAAUGGAAGGGGAAAGGAACAGAUCUUAUUUAAAACAAACUGUAAUUUCAACAGUUUUCUCAGUAGGGGUGGGAAGAUACUCCCUUUCAGUGACAUAUUAAACUCUCUGGGCUGCCACGUGCAGUUUGUGGGGGGGCGGGGGGGAAGUACCAAAAUUGUUUUUUUAUAAUACAAACUACAGGAAACAAAAUAUUACCAAAUCUUUCUAGCUGAAAGGGAUCUUCAGAAAAUAGUGAGAAAUCAUUUGGGGGGCUUUAGUUAGAAAAGUUUCAGAAACCCUAAAUAAGAAGGAACUAGCAAUUCCUAGAAAGAAAACAGUUUUGUAGGAAGCAGGGAUUAUCCCAACUAAGAAGCUAAUGAAAACUGAUAGCUAAAGUGAUUUCUGUUUGACAAGGAGAUUGUCACUGUUGACAGGGAUGACUGACAGGAUAGAAAAAUGAAGAGGAUAAAGCAUCUGCAGAAAGACUUCCGAGGAAAUUUGACACCUUCAAAACCACAGGUGUGAAGGAUGAAGAAUAUGGAAGUGGAUGAGAAGAAAUAUGAAGAAGACCAUACCCCCAGUGCUCUCGAGUCGAUUCACGCCACCAGGGUUUCCGAAGAAGACAGUAUUGAACAAAAUUUGCUACUGGAAUUUUUAGCGUUAAAUUCAUUAUUCAGUCAACAGUAUGUGCCAGGCAUCUUUAAUGUGCCAGGUAGUAAUAUAGACACCAAGAUCCAAGGGCGGAACAACACCAAGCCACUGUCAUCAAGGAGCUCACUUUUGAGUGGAGGAAACAGACAAUAAACUAAAAGACCAAUCAAUACAUAAUGUGAUAUCUGGUAGCCAUAAAUGCUAAUGUGUUUGAAACUCCACACCAAGAGUUCACUUACAGAGAUCUCAUCUGCUCCUUACAAGGACUCAAAAGGGUUUUCUGUUCAAUGGACAGAGCCCAUUCACAGCCAGGAAAGCCAGGUUCAUACACUCCCCUCCAGACUGUGCAGCACCCACAACCAGGUCUCACUACAGCCUGGAACCUGUACAAGGAAGCCCACAAGGAGAUCCUGAGAUUGAGUCCAUUAAAGAGAGUCUUCUAUGGUGAUGUUGGGCAUUCAGGAGGCUGGGGCAGUUUUUCUUUCACAGGUUUUCUGACUGGAGCAGAAGACUCAUGGGGCUUCCAUGUACUGGGUGCUUACAAAUUACCAGGCAAAGUUCUAGGGCCAAGCACACAGCAGUCAGCAAUAUAGACAAGACCUUGGCCUACCUGCAGCCUACUGUCCCAUGCCUUCAGGUAAAAUGCCCUUUGGUCCUAAUGUUGUUGUUGUGUGCUCCUGAAUUGAUUCCCACUCCUCGCCACCUUACAGGACAGAGUAGAACUGCAUAGGAUUCCCUAGGCUGUAAUCUUUAUGGGAGCAGAUCACUAGGUCUUUUCUACUGGGAAGUUGCUGGUGGAUUUGAACUACUGAGCUUUGGCCAGCAGCCAAGCACUUAACUAUUGUGCUAUGAGGCUAUCGGGGCUCCUUUUGGUCCUAAUAGAAAGGACAUUAUUCUAGUACCAAAUUUAAAACUGAGGCAAAGAAUUAUACAGUGCAAUCCCGUUUAAGUGGGACGGAAAAUAUAUAUAUAUAUGCGUGUGUGUGUGUGUGUGUGUGUGUGUAUGCAUACAGCAGUUAACAAGUACAUUGUAGAUACUUUUAAAAUAUUCUGAAGACCAGAGUACUAUUGUGGAGUGAAGGAAGAGAGGAAAACCUACUUAUUUUCGAUAUAUAUCUCUCUGUACUCUUUGCUUUUAUUCUGUGUAUAGCUUACAAUUUUUUAAGAGUUUAGUCUUAAAAGAUGAAUAAGGCAUGUAUUUAUAAACUAACAUGGAAAGAUAUAUUGUCAAAUGGUAUAAAAAAUAAUUUAUGAAACUGUUCAAGGAAGAGUGCAUUGUAAAAGAAAUAAUUACAUUGGCACACGGAGUUAUUGGUGUUUUUGUAUGCCACUGAGUCAAUUCUGACUCUUAGCAACCCUAUAUGACAAAGUUGAGCAGAUUGCCAGGUCUUUUCUCCCACAGAGCAGCUCGUAGGUUCAAGCCACUGACCAUUUGGUUAGCAGAUGAGCACUUAACCAUUGUGCCACCAGGGGUCCUUGAAAGAUAAACCAAAAAAAAGCCAAAUGCAUUGCUGCUGAGUCAAUUCCAACUCAAAGCAAUCCUAUAGUACAGAGUAGAACUGCCCCAUAGGGUUUCCAAGGAGCAGCUGGUAGAUUUGAACUGCCAAACUUGUGGUUAAGCAGCCGUAGUUCUUAACCACUAUGCCUCCAGGAUUCAACUCCCUUGAUAUAUACAUAUAUUUUUUUUUUUAAGAGGGGGAAAAUUGAGAGUAUACCACAAAUUGCUAUCAAUGAUUGCCUCUAGGGGGUUCAGUGAAGGGGAACACCUCUCAUAACCAGAAAAACCAAAUCCAGUGCCAUCAAGUCAAUUCCGACUCAUAGUGACACUACAGGACAGAGUAGAACUGCCCCAUGGAGUUUCCAAGGAGCGCCUGGCAGAUUUGAACUACUGACCCUUUGGUUAGCAGCCAUAGCACUUAACCACUAUGCCACCAGGGUUUCCAGACCUCUCAUAUUCUGUUAAACAUUUCCAUAACACUUGCCUAUUUUUUCAGUGAGCAUGAAUUGAAAAUCAGGAAAAAAAAAAGAUUUUUUUAAAAUAAGUAAAACAUUGCAUACACUUUAAGCCAAGCAACCUGAGGUAAUUCAUCCUCAUUUAAGUGCCAAAACAAAGAAUCUAUAAAUAUUUGUGGGUGAAGGACCGUAAGCAUAAACGUUCACCCAGUUCCCACAAUUCUCUUUUGCCCUUUAAAGUCCUAAAUCAAAGAACACCAAAGACACAAGGUAAUUAUGAGCCCAAGAGGCAGAAAGAGCCACAAAAAGCAGAGGCUAACAUUAGCCUGAGACCAGAAGAACCAGAUGGUGCCCGGCUACAACAGAUGACUGCCCUGCCAGGGAACACAACAGAGAACCCCUAAGGGAGCAGGAGUGCAGUGGGAUGCAGACUCCAAAUUCUUGUAGAAAGACCAGACUUAAUGGUCUGACUGAGACUAGAAGGACCCCGGUGGUCAUGGCCCCCAGGCCUUCUGUUGGCCCUUGACAGGAACCAUUCCCAAAGCCAACUCUUCAGACAGGGAUUGGACUGGACUAUGGGAUAGAAAAUUAUGCUGGUGAAGAAUGAGCUUCUUGGGUCAAGUAGACACAUGAGACUAUGUUGGCAUCUCCUAUCUGGAGGGGAGAUGAGAGGGCAGAGGGGGUCUGAAGCUGGUGGAAUAGACACGAAAAGAGAGAGUGGAGGGAAGGAGUGUGCUGUCUUAUUAGGGGGAGAGCAAUUAGAGUACAUAGCAAGGUGUUUAUAAAUUUUUGUAUGAGAGUCCAACUUGAUUUGUAAACUUUCACUGAAAGCACAAUUAAAAAAAAAAAAAAAGUCCUAAAUCAGAGGAGAUUCCACAUAACUCUUCAGAUCCAGAACCUUCAUUUGGGAGCCAGGCCCUCUGUGGAGAUAAUCACAGGGGAAAGGACUGGGUCAGGUGCCAUCCAGCAGUGGGCAUGCAGAUCCCGUGGGGGUCAGCUGACCUCCUCAGUGCUGCCUUUUUAGGAAAGGAUAUUUAGUCUGAGGCAGAAAAGGCCCUUCUGUCUUUAACCCUUCAGCUUGACCUUAUACCCCAAAACCUGUGCUGUAUUUUGGGCUUCAUCAAGAUGUGGCAAGCAGGUUCAGUUUUCAUUUUACUUUCAAGCACUAAUUUGAAGGUUUUCAUUUUGAAUUGGCCUGAAUCUAGGUCUCAGGCCCACACACAGUGGCAAGCCCUUGCAUGGCAGAGGUGGGCCUUGGCAGGCUUGCCUGUACUUUCACUUCCCACCCAGAUUCCUGAGCACAAACCAAUGGGAGCUUGCGUCAGAUUCGCCGAGGCAGGCCAGGGAGACAAUCCUGAAAUCCCCUUGGUGACACAGCAUCACAAAAGCCUGUUUGUAACGUAUCACACUGCUAAAUUUAGACAUAGUCUGGCUAUUACACAGAAAGAGCUCUUGAAAAGAGACAAAAAGAAUCCAAGGAUACAGAAAACCUGCCUGGGCCAGUGAGUCCUCACUUGUUUUGUAAUUCAGACAGAGGAGGAGUUAAUUCAAACCUCAGCCAGUUGCAACAGAGCCCUUGUUUCCAUGAAGCUACCCUGGAGAAGGAAGUGCCUUCUAGGUGCUAUAAGCUGGUGCCAGCCAAGCCCACACAAGAUGUAAGCUGGGCAGGGUAAUUGAUAAUAUCAGAUGAUACCAUGUGAGGGUUUAUAUGAGGGCAAAUAACAAGCAUAUGAAUAAAGUCACGUGUCCCCAAAGGGACAAAUAUCAACAGCUGAAGUAUUAUUCAUGGCACUGAAAGCAUCACUCAUGUUAUUAAUAAACUAUUUAAAACAUAUACAACAGAAAACGGGCUCAGGAUACGUUAUGGUCUAUAAACCAUGAUUUAAAUGGCCUUAGUAGCUGAUAUCAACAGAGGGACAUUAUCCAUUUGAGAUGACUGAGUAUUUUGGAAGAUGUCACAUAUUCUCUUUUCCAAGUAAAGAUGCAAAAAACUAUCAAGACGUAUUACCCAUCAUUUGCUUUUAGAAGAGCCAAUCUUCCAGGAGUCUUUCGAAAUGUUUUUAUUUACAGAAUAACCUUUCCGCUUCCUCUGAACUACAUACAGGGCUUAAGAGCAGCAAUCAAAGAUGUACUCAGAGUUUUUCAGGGUAGCACCUCACAGGAAUUCACCUGGUGAUGAGUUGACAGAUACCAUCUCAAAAGAGGGGAAUGCAGCACAGAAAAAGAUAAGCAUAUUCGAGAGAGGGUAGAACACAGAAGGGAAUUCCAGGGAAGCUUGGGAAGGCACAGAAAUUCAAGUUGCUCUAAGAGAAGACUCACGGAAAGAAAUGUAUAGAAGAAUAGGACCAACACACACAGAAAUACCCCAGGGCUUUGAUAAAGACACCAGUUACUGGGCUCUUCUUUCUCACCCAUGAGUCAUGAAUGCACUGUCCUCAACAAAAUACGUGUGCACUGAAGCAGACAAUUCUUCAUUCCAGAAUUCACCACUUCAUCUCUGAUUUAAUCUCUAGCAAAGCAUUGAAGCGAAUUACACAAAGGAAAAAAAAAAAGUGGAGCUCAAAUAGAAGAAAAAGAAAUAAGUUUUGUUUACUUCCUUAUGACAAAUAAGGAAGUAAAAAAGUCAUAUAAUGAAUUAUUACAAUAAAUUGGAUAUUUUAUAGCUGCAUAUGUUUUAUUUUAUAUUAAUAACAGGAGAUAUGAGGCAUAGUGCUUUCAUCAAUAUCUCUUAUUUUUUUAGCACAGGGUUCUUUUAAACAUCAGUCUAUUCUGAAGUAUAGAUUUUCAGAAAUAUCCUGUCUGCAUUGUUCUGAUUUGUCUCCAUAUCCCAAAGGCUCUAACAAUCAAAGUUUGGGGUUCCAUUUGUACUUCUGUUGCUCCAGCCACAUAACUAAAAUGCAAAUAAACUAGUGAAUGGUAGAAACAAUUUGAAAAUGUUUUUCCAGGUAAAAAAAGUCAUAAUUCAAAGUAUGAGUUGAGUCAAAGGGAGGCAUUGUCCAGAAAGAAAACACACACACACACAAAAGAAAACUAUAUCAUUAGACAAGUUUGUUCACUUUCCAACAGCAAAUGAGUCAUUCAUCAGUUCAUAUGCCACAUAUAUUACAGGCCUUGAAUGUAAAAUGGUAUUUAUCUUUCAACAUAAAAAAAAAAAAAAACCCUAA
This is a long non-coding RNA of Loxodonta africana (African savanna elephant), 6178 nucleotides long. RefSeq lists it as uncharacterized. NCBI's taxonomy places the organism in Eukaryota, Metazoa, Chordata, Mammalia, Proboscidea, Elephantidae. The record is from RefSeq and is a predicted model, not a curated record. The transcript is spliced from 4 exons.